AGUGAACGCUGGCGGUAGGCCUAACACAUGCAAGUCGAACGGCAGCACAGUAAGUUCUUGCUCUUACGGGUGGCGGGUGGCGGACGGGUGAGGAAUACAUCGGAAUCUACUUUUUCGUGGGGGAUAACGUAGGGAAACUUACGCUACUACCGCAUAAGACCUACGGGUGAAAGCAGGGGAUCUUCGGACCUUGCGCGAUUGAAUGAGCCGAUGUCGGAUUAGCUAGUUGGCGGGGUAAAGGCCCACCAAGGCGACGAUCCGUAGCUGGUCUGAGAGGAUGAUCAGCCACACUGGAACUGAGACACGGUCCAGACUCCUACGGGAGGCAGCAGUGGGGAAUAUUGGACAAUGGGCGCAAGCCUGAUCCAGCCAUACCGCGUGGGUGAAGAAGGCCUUCGGGUUGUAAAGCCCUUUUGUUGGGAAAGAAAAGCAGCAGGUUAAUACCCCGCUGUUCUGACGGUACCCAAAGAAUAAGCACCGGCUAACUUCGUG
Molecule: ribosomal RNA, 492 nt
Filed under: uncultured bacterium
Lineage: Bacteria
Description: partial 16S ribosomal RNA
Rfam family: Bacterial small subunit ribosomal RNA
Source: RNAcentral